Molecule: long non-coding RNA, 259 nt
Organism: Cryptotermes secundus
Lineage: Eukaryota; Metazoa; Arthropoda; Insecta; Blattodea; Kalotermitidae
Exons: 3
Source: RefSeq, a predicted model, not a curated record
ACAGCUGGACUCCACCCCCUCACUAAGAGAAUUAAAAAAAAUAUUCUGGGGUUUGUUAGGCUUACGGUCUGGUGUUACAGGAGGUUACCAACUAACAACAGCCCGCCAUUUCGGAUAACAACAUUGGUUACUGAACUCCGGUGAACGUGGAGGCCAUCAGAAACCGGACAAAUCUACUACUCCUUUAUUGCUUCCGCUGACCUCGGAAUGCAAGAAAUCCAGGCCUUCGGUGUCCAGGAGCGCGUGGUAAGCCAUAAAU